Molecule: ribosomal RNA, 152 nt
Filed under: uncultured bacterium
Lineage: Bacteria
Description: partial 16S ribosomal RNA
Rfam family: Bacterial small subunit ribosomal RNA
Source: RNAcentral
GAGGAAUAUGGUCAAUGGGCGGGAGCCUGAACCAGCCAAGUCGCGUGAGGGAAGACUGCCCCUAUGGGUUGUAAACCUCUUUUGUCAGGGAGCAAUUGGCGCUACGUGUAGCGUUAUCGAGAGUACCUGAAGAAAAAGCAUCGGCUAACUCC